AAUGGCUAAACGAGGGCUCCACUGUCUCAAUAAUAAACCUAGUGAAAUUGAAACGGUGGCGAAGCUGCCACCUAUGAAUUCUAAGACGAGAAGACCCCAUUGAGCUUUACUAUUAACUUGUAUUGCCAGAGCGCGAGCAAAUAAGCAAAAAGAUUAGAAGGGGAUCCGAAGGAUCCCCUUGCUUCAUAAUAAAAUUGUGUAGACUAAGUGGGAAAAAGAUAAAACAAGGGAUUUAAAAGAAUCCCGGGGCGCGGGAAGGGGGUGCCAAUGGCGUGGUUUUCCCCCCCCGCCCCGGGUCCCGAUUUAUAUGAAAAACCACUCUUUUUAUUAAGAUUACUGUCUACAACCGUACAAGUAAGAUAGUUUGGUUGGGGCGACCGCCUUCGAAAAAGUAUCGAAGGCGCACAUAAGAUUAGUCCGGAGGGGGGUCCGAAGGCCCUCCCGGGGGUAAUGCCCCAAAGAAAAGAUUAGUUUGACUGAGAGGGCUACAACCCGAACAGGCGCUAUUAAAAAGGGAUAAAAAGUCUUUUUGCGGGUCAUAGUGAUCCGUUGUUAUAUUGUGGGAUUGACAACGAUCAACGAAGA
This 585-nucleotide ribosomal RNA is filed under the name Placozoa sp. H11 HM-2017. Its description in RNAcentral is "partial 16S ribosomal RNA". It matches the Rfam family "Bacterial large subunit ribosomal RNA", at positions 1995 to 2458 of the family's 2925-position model. Lineage: Eukaryota; Metazoa; Placozoa. The record is from RNAcentral.